RNAcentral lists this ribosomal RNA (1285 nucleotides) under Kurthia zopfii. RNAcentral describes it as "bacterial SSU rRNA". It matches the Rfam family "Bacterial small subunit ribosomal RNA", at positions 91 to 1363 of the family's 1533-position model. The record is from RNAcentral. Lineage: Bacteria; Bacillati; Bacillota; Bacilli; Caryophanales; Caryophanaceae.
UCUAGCGGCGGACGGGUGAGUAACACGUGGGCAACCUGCCCUACAGUUUGGGAUAACUCCGGGAAACCGGGGCUAAUACCGAAUAAUCCUUCGAAUCACAUGGUUCGAAGUUGAAAGGCGCUUCGGCGUCGCUGUAGGAUGGGCCCGCGGUGCAUUAGCUAGUUGGUGGGGUAACGGCCUACCAAGGCAACGAUGCAUAGCCGACCUGAGAGGGUGAUCGGCCACAUUGGGACUGAGACACGGCCCAAACUCCUACGGGAGGCAGCAGUAGGGAAUCUUCCACAAUGGACGAAAGUCUGAUGGAGCAACGCCGCGUGAGUGAUGAAGGUUUUCGGAUCGUAAAACUCUGUUGUAAGGGAAGAACAAGUGCGUUAGGUAAUGAACGCACCUUGACGGUACCUUAUUAGAAAGCCACGGCUAACUACGUGCCAGCAGCCGCGGUAAUACGUAGGUGGCAAGCGUUGUCCGGAUUUAUUGGGCGUAAAGCGCGCGCAGGUGGUUUCUUAAGUCUGAUGUGAAAGCCCACGGCUCAACCGUGGAGGGUCAUUGGAAACUGGGAAACUUGAGUGCAGAAGAGGAUAGUGGAAUUCCAAGUGUAGCGGUGAAAUGCGUAGAGAUUUGGAGGAACACCAGUGGCGAAGGCGACUGUCUGGUCUGUAACUGACACUGAGGCGCGAAAGCGUGGGGAGCAAACAGGAUUAGAUACCCUGGUAGUCCACGCCGUAAACGAUGAGUGCUAAGUGUUAGGGGGUUUCCGCCCCUUAGUGCUGCAGCUAACGCAUUAAGCACUCCGCCUGGGGAGUACGACCGCAAGGUUGAAACUCAAAGGAAUUGACGGGGGCCCGCACAAGCGGUGGAGCAUGUGGUUUAAUUCGAAGCAACGCGAAGAACCUUACCAGGUCUUGACAUCCCAAUGACCGCUCUAGAGAUAGAGUUUUCCCUUCGGGGACAUUGGUGACAGGUGGUGCAUGGUUGUCGUCAGCUCGUGUCGUGAGAUGUUGGGUUAAGUCCCGCAACGAGCGCAACCCUUAUUCUUAGUUGCCAUCAUUUAGUUGGGCACUCUAAGGAGACUGCCGGUGACAAACCGGAGGAAGGUGGGGAUGACGUCAAAUCAUCAUGCCCCUUAUGACCUGGGCUACACACGUGCUACAAUGGACGAUACAAAGAGUCGCAAACUCGCGAGGGCAAGCUAAUCUCAUAAAAUCGUUCUCAGUUCGGAUUGUAGGCUGCAACUCGCCUGCAUGAAGCCGGAAUCGCUAGUAAUCGUAGAUCAGCAUGCUACGGU